RNAcentral lists this ribosomal RNA (1209 nucleotides) under Vicinamibacteria bacterium. Its description in RNAcentral is "partial 23S ribosomal RNA". It matches the Rfam family "Bacterial large subunit ribosomal RNA", at positions 1 to 1156 of the family's 2925-position model. The record is from RNAcentral. Lineage: Bacteria; Pseudomonadati; Acidobacteriota; Vicinamibacteria.
GGUCAAGCUACUAAGGGCGUACGGUGGAUGCCUUGGCGCAGGACGGCGAUGAAGGACGUGGCAAGCUGCGAUAAGCCUCGGAUAGCCGCAAACAGGCUCCGACCCGAGGAUUUCCGAAUGGGGCAACCCGUCUAGGGUAAUCCUAGAUCACGCAAGGUGAAUACAUAGCCUUGCGUAGCCAACCCGGGGAAGUGAACCAUCUCAGUACCCGGAGGAAAAGAAAGCAAAUGCGACUCCCCUAGUAGCGGCGAGCGAACGGGGAUGAGCCCAAACCUCUUUUAUGUCAAGUCUGUCGACGUUGUAGAAGAGGGGUUGUAGGGCCGGACGUGACACUGGACAGCAGUGUCGGGAAGUUACAAAUCGAUCUCUUAGCCGAACAGUCUGGGACGGCUGGCGAUACAGGGUGAAAGCCCCGUAGGCGAAAAGAGUGAGACUUCCUUGUUCGGUUCCUGAGUACCGCGGGGCACGUGAAACCCUGCGGGAAUCUGGGAGGACCAUCUCCCAAGGCUAAGUACGUGCCUGCGACCGAUAGUGAACCAGUACCGUGAGGGAAAGGUGAAAAGAACCCCUAUAGGGGAGUGAAAUAGUACCUGAAACCGUGCGCUUACAAGCAGUUGGAGGGCGUUUCACCGGGGCAACCCGGUAAGCCUGACAGCGUGCCUUUUGCAUAAUGAGCCGGCUAGUUUUUCUCAGCGGCAAGGUUAAGCGUUAAGCGAGCCGUAGCGAAAGCAAGUCUGAAUAGGGCGAAUUAGUCGCUGGGAAAAGACGCGAAGCGAGGUGAUCUACCCAUGGCCAGGGUGAAAGUCGGGUAACACCGACCGGAGGCCCGAACCAGUGUUGGUUGAAAACAGCUUGGAUGAGCUGUGGGUAGGGGUGAAAGGCUAAUCAAACCUCGUGAUUGCCCGUUCUCUUCGAAAUAGCUUUAGGGCUAGCGUCGUGUAUAACUUCCGGGGGUAAAGUACUGAAUGGACUAGGGCCUUUACCGAGGUACCGAAUCCAAUCCAACUCUGAAUACCGGAAAGUUCAAUCACGGCAGUCAGACAGUGGGGGCUAAGCUCCAUUGUCAAAAGGGAAACAGCCCAGACCGUCAGCUAAGGUCCCAAAGUGCCGUCUUAGUGGUAAAGGAUGUGGAUCCGCACAGACAACCAGGAGGUUGGCUUAGAAGCAGCCAUCCUUUAAAGAAAGCGUAAUAGCUCACUGGUCAAGUGG